Molecule: ribosomal RNA, 376 nt
Filed under: uncultured bacterium
Lineage: Bacteria
Description: bacterial SSU rRNA
Rfam family: Bacterial small subunit ribosomal RNA
Source: RNAcentral
AUACGGAGGGUGCGAGCGUUAAUCGGAAUUACUGGGCGUAAAGGGCUCGUAGGCGGUUUGUUAAGCAAGAUGUGAAAGCCCAGGGCUCAACCUUGGAAUUGCAUUUUGAACUGGCAAGCUAGAGUUUUGAAGAGGGUGGUAGAAUUUCCAGUGUAGCGGUGAAAUGCGUAGAUAUUGGAAGGAAUACCAGUGGCGAAGGCGGCCACCUGGUCAAAAACUGACGCUGAGGAGCGAAAGCGUGGGGAGCAAACAGGAUUAGAUACCCUGGUAGUCCACGCCGUAAACGAUGUCAACUAGUUGUUCGUGUCUUUAAGACGUGAGUAACGCAGCUAACGCACUAAGUUGACCGCCUGGGGAGUACGGCCGCAAGGUUAAA